This 275-nucleotide unclassified non-coding RNA is filed under the name uncultured fungus. Its description in RNAcentral is "partial contains 5.8S ribosomal RNA, internal transcribed spacer 2, and large subunit ribosomal RNA". The stretch from base 1 to 52 matches the Rfam family "5.8S ribosomal RNA", at positions 103 to 154 of the family's 154-position model. Lineage: Eukaryota; Fungi. The record is from RNAcentral.
AACGCACAUUGCGCCCUCUGGUAUUCCGGAGGGCAUGCCUGUUCGAGCGUCAUUAUCACCACUCAAGCCCGGCUUGUUGUUGGCGGCUCUCAAGCGAGGACCGGGUCGACCGGUCACGCUUCCGCCCAAAGAUAAUGACGGCGUCUGUGAGGACUCCUGUACACUGAGCUUUCGGGCACGUACACGGUUAGAAGUCCAGGCGCCGGUCACCGUCCCUCGGGACACUUUUUACCAAGGUUGACCUCGGAUCAGGUAGGGAUACCCGCUGAACUUAA